AUUGAACGCUGGCGGCAGGCCUAACACAUGCAAGUCGAGCGGUAACAGAUUGAUAGCUUGCUAUCAAUGCUGACGAGCGGCGGACGGGUGAGUAAUGCCUGGGAAUAUACCCUGAUGUGGGGGAUAACUAUUGGAAACGAUAGCUAAUACCGCAUAAUCUCUUGUCUUUUACGAGAUGGGAGCAAAGAGGGGGACCUUCGGGCCUCUCGCGUCAGGAUUAGCCCAGGUGGGAUUAGCUAGUUGGUGGGGUAAUGGCUCACCAAGGCGACGAUCCCUAGCUGGUCUGAGAGGAUGAUCAGCCACACUGGAACGGAGACACGGUCCAGACUCCUACGGGAGGCAGCAGUGGGGAAUAUUGCACAAUGGGGGAAACCCUGAUGCAGCCAUGCCGCGUGUAUGAAGAAGGCCUUCGGGUUGUAAAGUACUUUCAGUUGUGAGGAAGGCGUUGGAGUUAAUAGCUUCAGCGCUUGACGUUAGCAACAGAAGAAGCACCGGCUAACUCCGUG
This 506-nucleotide ribosomal RNA is filed under the name uncultured bacterium. RNAcentral describes it as "partial 16S ribosomal RNA". It matches the Rfam family "Bacterial small subunit ribosomal RNA", at positions 30 to 507 of the family's 1533-position model. The record is from RNAcentral.